This is a long non-coding RNA of Pseudoliparis swirei, 1123 nucleotides long. RefSeq lists it as uncharacterized. The transcript has 2 exons. NCBI's taxonomy places the organism in Eukaryota, Metazoa, Chordata, Actinopteri, Perciformes, Liparidae. The record is from RefSeq and is a predicted model, not a curated record.
UAAGUUAUCAGGUUAGUGAUACACUUGUCCCUUUAAACUUACACUACACUGUUUAAAGUACUGUUAUUGGUUUGUAUGUGCACUUUAUUUUAUAUUCUACUGUAAAUGUAAUGUUACAAUUCUUGCACUUUGUUGAUUGUUGAAUGUUAUUGUCUCAUGUUGCACCACCCGCCAUGACACAUUCCUUGUAUGUGAAAACAUCCUUUGCAAUAGAUAGAUAGAGAGAUGGAUAGAUAGAGCGAUUAACAGAUACUUUAUUCAUCCACAGGGGGAAAUUUGGUUAUAGAAGCAAGGUUACAGAGUAAACACACAAUAUAUACAAUGAAAUAGCAGAGCAGGAAAUAUUCAAUUUAAGAAAAUUAGAUGAUAAAGAAAAUGGAAAGUCUAUAGAGUGUAAAUACAGUGAAAGGGUUAUUGAUCAAUUUAAGGAGGAUAUGGUCAGAGGUGAUUUAUUAUAAAGUCUGAUAGCAGUUGGCAGGAAUGUUCUCCCGUAUCUGUCCUUUGGUAUUCCUGUCCUCUCACCCUCUCUUUAGCUGUGGAACGUCCUGAAGCAGCUCCCCAGCCCCCCAGAAACCAGAAGUCUCCCAGGAGGAGCAGGAAGAGGAGGAGCCCGACUGCCCGGCAGGACGGAUAAAGUUCCAGACAGCCUUCCCUCGCGCCUGGCGGGGGAAGGCUGGUUCUACUUUUUUAUUUAGGUAUCGAUUGCUGUGACAAGUCUACCAGGAUCUCCUUAACGACGACGAAGAAGAUGACGAGGGAGGACUACAUGAGAAGGAUGAAGGACUACAGGACCAGAUGCAGAGCGGCGGUUGCCUUUCUUUUAGUGGGUGGAGGCAGGACUCCUCUGUCUCUCUCCCAGCUGAGGGUGGACGUCAACCAACCCGUCACCCUCAGCUGACCACUGAACAGGUACAAUCAGGACCCCCCCCCCCGCCCGUCCACCCAGACCCCUGACACCGCCCGCCCCGCCCACACAGGAAGCAGCUGUGAAGAAGACGGACGCUUCAGCCUGAACGAGACAUAAUAAUUCUUUAAUUUGUCACAUGGAAUACUGUACGUUCAUGUUAACUGUGUACAGUAUUUAGAUUAUCUCCUGAUUUUAAUAAAUACAUGUACAGCAACA